GAUUGUAUGUAUGUAUGUUAGUGAGUGUCUGCCUGUGUGUUUGACUGUCAUACAUACACUCACUCACUGACAGACACACACACAGGCAAACACUCACUGACAGACACA
Pelobates cultripes (western spadefoot toad) is the source of this 108-nucleotide non-coding RNA. The record is from the annotation of a GenBank genome assembly. NCBI's taxonomy places the organism in Eukaryota, Metazoa, Chordata, Amphibia, Anura, Pelobatidae.